RNAcentral lists this long non-coding RNA (3200 nucleotides) under Setaria italica (foxtail millet). RNAcentral describes it as "long non-coding RNA (SITA_LNC003429)". Lineage: Eukaryota; Viridiplantae; Streptophyta; Magnoliopsida; Poales; Poaceae. The record is from RNAcentral.
GAGGAUAUGGUGCCCAUCAUGUAGUACAGAUGUAUUUCUCGUACUAUGUACACAUACACUGUGCUCCACACCUGGCCCAUCACAUCCAGCCCGUCAGGUCUAUGCAGUGCCCCUCAAUUUUUUGGGCUAGAGAGUAUAUGAUGCCCAUCAUGUAGUACAGAUGUACUUAUAGUACUAUGUACACAUUCAAGCUCGUAUAUUUUCACUGCACUGGAGUAGUUAAAUUAAUAAUGGCACAUUUACAAUAUCCUAGCAUUGCUAAUUAAUUAAGGCGCGCCAGUAUACUCGUACCCGUAGGAACUAUGACCAGCUGCCACCCGGAAGCAUUCAUGCAAAGAAGAUAGAAGAAGAAGACGCCAUGUCCGUGGUAAGGCUGUGCAUCGCAAGAACAAAGAAGAACAAAGGACGUGGCACCGGUUUUAUCGUGGUCAACACCGCGAACAAGCUUGUGGUCAUGACCUGUGGCCACCCGUUAAAUGAAUGGGUUAGGGGCACAAAGGUAGGCGUCAUAUUCCAUGACAUGGGAGAUGCUAGUACCGAAGCGGUGUGGGUUAAUACAGAGAAGGAGGUUGCAUUGCUUCUCAUAGAUACCUCUUCCAAUCCUGAACUCUCUGCGUAUCCUGCUGUCGAUUUCUCGUACGAUGACGUUAGAGUUGGAGAUUUUCUCCUGACGCUUGGGCAUCCGCAUGGCAUGCGGAGCUAUCACGAUGUAUGGAACAAUUUCGGCUUGGUCACCUAACUUUCUUCCAUCCUAGAACAGCUACUGUUGAUCACGUACGAAUAAUUAACACACGUGUGCGCACACAGUGCAUGCAUAUUGAUAGUAGCUAACGUGCACUACAUGAAUGUAUACUUGCAGCAAGGAGGUCGGUCCUACUACCACUGGUUUGGGCAGUAUUGUCCAAAUAUUUAAUUGGUGGUGACUUUGGCACCGAUCCGGGCACGUGCGGCUCACCAGUUUUUGCAGUAGAUGGCCGAGUGGUAUUCAUGACCAUCUCUGACGUCCAAGAUAUGACAUAUGUUCUUUCAGUGGGGUGGAUACGGUAGACACUACAGAUGUACUUCUAGUACUAUGUAUGUGUCUUGUAUAGGUUAAUUUUACUCCACACAUGACCCAUCACAUCAAGCCAAUCAGGUCGACGCAGUGCCCCCCCCCCAUUUUAUUGGGCUAGAGAGGAUAUGAUGCCCAUCAUGUAAUACAGAUGUAUUUCUAGUACUAUGUACACAUACACUGUACUCCACACAUGACCCAUCACAUCCAGCCCAUCAAGUCUAUGCAGUGCCCCUCAGUUUAUUGGGCUAGAGAGUAUAUGAUGCCCAUCAUGUAGUACAGAUGUACUUCUAGUACUAUGUACACAUACAAGCUCGUAUAUUUUCACUGCAAUGGAGUAGUUAAAUUAAUAAUGGCACAUUUUACAAUAUCGUGGGCAUUGCUAAUUAAUUAAGGCGCGCCAGUAUACUCGUACCCACAGGAGCUAUGACCAGCUGCCACCCGGAAGCAUUCAUGCAAAGAGGAUAGAAGAAGAACACGCCAUGUCCGUUGUAAGGCUGUGCAUCGCAAGAACUAAGAAGAACAAAGGACGUGGCACCGGUUUUGUCGUGGUCAACACCGCGAACAAGCUUGUGGUCAUGACCUGUGGCCACCCGUUAAAUGAAUGGGUUAGAAGCACAAAGGAAUGCAUCACAUUCCAUGACAUGGGAGAUGCUAGUGCCGAAGCGGUGUGGGUUAAUACAGAGAAGGAGGUUGCAUUGCUUCUCAUAGAUACCUCUUCUAAUCCUGAACUCUCUGCGUAUCCUGCUGUUGAUUUCUCGUACGAUGACGUUGGAGUUGGAGAUUUUCUCGUGACGCUUGGGCAUCCUUAUGGCAUGCGGGGCUCACGAUGUAUGGAAUAAUUUCGGCUUGGCCACCUAAGUUGUUUCCAUCCUAAAACAGAUACUGUUAAUCACGUACGAAUAAUCAACACACGUGCGCGCACACAGAGGCGUACAUUGCAUGCAUAUUGAUAUUUGCUAACGUGCACUACAUGAAUGUAUACUUGCAGCAAGGAGGUCGGUCGUACUGCCACUGGUUUGAGCAGUAUUGUCCAAAUAUUUAAUUAGUGGUGACUUUGGCACCGGUCUGGGCGCGUGCGGCUCACCAGUUUUUGGAGUAGAUGGCCGGGUGGUAGGCAUGAUCAUCUCUGGAGUCCAAGAUAUGACAUAUGUUUCUUUCAGUGGGGUGGAUAUGGGAGACACUACAGAUUUACUUCUAGUACUAUGUAUGUGUCUAGUAUACGUUCACUGUACUCCACACAUGGCCCAUCAUAUGAAGCCCAUCAAGUCGACGCAGUGCCCCCCAGUUUAUUGGGCGAGAGAGGAUAUGGUGCCCAUCAUGUAGUACAGAUGUAUUUCUCGUACUAUGUACACAUACACUGUACUCCACACACGGCCCAUCACAUCCAGCCCAUCAGAUCUAUACAGUGCCCCUCAAUUUUUUGGGCUAGAGAGUAUAUGAUGCCCAUCAUGUAGUACAGAUGUACUUUUAGUACUGUGUACACAUACAAGCUCGUAUAUUUUCACUGCACUGGAGUAGUAAAAUUAAUAACGGCUCAUUUACAAUAUCCUAGCAUUGCUAAUUAAUUAAGGCGCGCCAGUAUACUCGUACCCGUAGGAACUAUGACCAGCUGCCACCCGGAAGCAUUCAUGCAAAGAAGAUAGAAGAAGAAGACGCCAUGUCCGUGGUAAGGCUGUGCAUCGCAAGAACUAAGAGGAACAAAGGACGUGGCACCGGUUUUAUCGUGGUCAACACCACGAACAAGCUUGUGGUGAUAACCUGUGGCCACCCGUUAAAUGAAUGGGUUAGGGGCACAAAGGUAGGCGUCAUAUUCCAUGACAUAGGAGAUGCUAGUGUCGAAGCUGUGUGGGUUAAUAUAGAGAAGGAGGUUGCAUUGCUUCUCAUAGAUACCUCUUCCAAUCCUGAACUCUCUGCGUAUCCUGCUGUCGAUUUCUCGUACGAUGACGUUGGAGUUGGAGGUUUUCUCGUGACGCUUGGGCAUCCUCAUGGCAUGCGGGGCUAUCACGAUGUAUGGAACAAUUUCGGCUUGGUCACCUAAGUUGCUUCCAUCCUAAAACAGCUACUGUUAAUCACGUACGAAUAAUUAACACACGUGCGCGCACACAGAGGCGUACAGUGCAUGCAUAUUGAUAUUUGCUAACGUGCA